GCAGUCUUCACAGCUCUGGCACUCAGGUUGCAGUGAGAUCCAGGGAGAGCCAGAAGUGAGGCGCCCAGAGAAGUGUUCACUUGUGGCUCGAAGUCCAGGUGUGAUACUGCAUGAAAACCCCCCGAUUUGGCCAUCCAGAGCAUGGUAAUCAAGAAACGCCUAGAUGUUUCCAAAAAUGGAUUGGGUGUCCCUCCAAGUGUUCAUGAAAAGGUUGAAUUUCCUCUUGGUGGGGAGUUACAGAGGAGAUUAGCAGAUCAGGCUGAAUUAGGGCCUCACUGUGUUACCCAGGCUGGAGUGCAGUGGUGCAAUCACAGCUCACUGCAGCCUCGACUUCGCAGGCUUAAGCACAUCUCCCACCUCAGUUUCCCAAGUAUCUGGGACCACAGGUGCGUACCACCAAGCCCAGCUAAUUUUUCUUAUUUUUUGUAGGGAUAGGAUCUCCUUAAGUUGCCCAAGCUGAUCUUGAAUGCCUGGGCUCAAGCAAUCCGCCUGCCUCGGAUUUUCAAAAUGCUGGGAUUACAGAUGUGAGCCACCAUGUCUAACCUGAAACACAGUUUUAAAUGAACACAAUUUGUUGUUGUUGUCUUCUCCACCAAAGAAAAUUAGUUCUUUAAAGACUCACCAAGUUAAAAAAUAAAUAAAUAAUACAAUUUAUCAACUUUAGUUUCUAAUUUCUUCAACUGAUCCCUCAUUCACAGCCAGGAAAAAUCACACUUUUUUCUUUUAUAU
Molecule: long non-coding RNA, 729 nt
Filed under: Homo sapiens (human)
Lineage: Eukaryota; Metazoa; Chordata; Mammalia; Primates; Hominidae
Description: HSALNT0344945
Source: RNAcentral